Molecule: ribosomal RNA, 468 nt
Filed under: uncultured bacterium
Lineage: Bacteria
Description: partial 16S ribosomal RNA
Rfam family: Bacterial small subunit ribosomal RNA
Source: RNAcentral
GACGAACGCUGGCGGCGUGCUUAACACAUGCAAGUCGAACGGAAAGGCCCUGCUUUUGUGGGGUGCUCGAGUGGCGAACGGGUGAGUAACACGUGAGUAACCUGCCCUUGACUUUGGGAUAACUUCAGGAAACUGGGGCUAAUACCGGAUAGGAGCUCCUGCUGCAUGGUGGGGGUUGGAAAGUUUCGGCGGUUGGGGAUGGACUCGCGGCUUAUCAGCUUGUUGGUGGGGUAGUGGCUUACCAAGGCUUUGACGGGUAGCCGGCCUGAGAGGGUGACCGGCCGCAGUGGGACUGAGAGACGGCCCCGACGCCUACGGGAGGCAGCAGUGGGGAGGCGGGUAGAAGGGACGGAGGCCUGAUGCAGCCACGCCGCGUGCGGGAUGACGGCCUGCGGGUUGGAAACCGCUUUCGCCUGUGACGAAGCGGGAGUGACGGUAAUGGGUAAAGAAGCUCCGGCUAACUACGUG